RNAcentral lists this unclassified non-coding RNA (365 nucleotides) under uncultured bacterium. Its description in RNAcentral is "contains 16S-23S intergenic spacer region". The record is from RNAcentral.
UCUCCCGUGAGGGAGCAGUCUCGCCUGGCCAUAUAGGCAACAGGCAACGGGGGUUGCGUUCGUUACCCCACUGAAGGGAACAGUUCAAACCACGAACUGACGACGACCAUGCAUCACCUGUGCUACACCCUCGAAGGCUCCCCUCCUUUCGGAAGGGAUGCAGUAGCAUUUCUAACCUUGAUAAGGUUCUUCGUUUGUCGACGAAUUGAGCCACAUAAUCCACCGCUUGUGCGAGUCCCCGUCUAUUCCUUUGAGUUUUAAUCUUGCGAUCGUACUACCCAGGCGGCUCGCUUACCGCGUUAGCUUAGCCUCACAGAGGGUCGAUACUCCGUAAAGCGAGCGAGCAACGUUGAGGGCCAGGACUA